GAUGAACGCUAGCUACAGGCUUAACACAUGCAAGUCGAGGGAAACGAUAGAGAAAGCUUGCUUUUUCUAGGCGUCGACCGGCGCACGGGUGAGUAACGCGUAUCCAACCUGCCCACCACUUGGGGAUAACCUUGCGAAAGUAAGACUAAUACCCAAUGACGUCUCUAGAAGACAUCUGAAAGGGAUUAAAGAUUUAUCGGUGAUGGAUGGGGAUGCGUCUGAUUAGCUUGUUGGCGGGUAACGGCCCACCAAGGCAACGAUCAGUAGGGGUUCUGAGAGGAAGGUCCCCCACAUUGGAACUGAGACACGGUCCAAACUCCUACGGGAGGCAGCAGUGAGGAAUAUUGGUCAAUGGGCGAGAGCCUGAACCAGCCAAGUAGCGUGCAGGAUGACGGCCCUAUGGGUUGUAAACUGCUUUUAUAAGGGAAUAAAGUGAGCCUCGUGAGGCUUUUUGCAUGUACCUUAUGAAUAAGGACCGGCUAAUUCCGUG
This 490-nucleotide ribosomal RNA is filed under the name uncultured bacterium. Its description in RNAcentral is "bacterial SSU rRNA". It matches the Rfam family "Bacterial small subunit ribosomal RNA", at positions 28 to 507 of the family's 1533-position model. The record is from RNAcentral.